This 690-nucleotide ribosomal RNA is filed under the name uncultured Bacteroidales bacterium. RNAcentral describes it as "bacterial SSU rRNA". It matches the Rfam family "Bacterial small subunit ribosomal RNA", at positions 32 to 715 of the family's 1533-position model. Lineage: Bacteria; Pseudomonadati; Bacteroidota; Bacteroidia; Bacteroidales. The record is from RNAcentral.
AACGCUAGCUACAGGCUUAACACAUGCAAGUCGAGGGGCAGCACAAGGCAGCAAUGCUGAGGUGGCGACCGGCGCACGGGUGCGUAACGCGUAUCCAACCUUCCCGUUACUCUUGGAUAGCCUUCCGAAAGGGAGAUUAAUACAGGAUGGUGUUGAAAUUCCGCAUGUUAUUUCAACUAAAGAUUUAUCGGUAACGGAUGGGGAUGCGUGACAUUAGAUAGAUGGCGGGGUAACGGCCCACCAUGUCCACGAUGUCUAGGGGUUCUGAGAGGAAGGUCCCCCACACUGGAACUGAGACACGGUCCAGACUCCUACGGGAGGCAGCAGUGAGGAAUAUUGGUCAAUGGCCGGAAGGCUGAACCAGCCAAGUAGCGUGAAGGAUGAAGGUUCUAUGGAUUGUAAACUUCUUUUAUACGGGAAUAAAACCUCCCACGUGUGGGAGCUUGUAUGUACCGUAUGAAUAAGCAUCGGCUAACUCCGUGCCAGCAGCCGCGGUAAUACGGAGGAUGCGAGCGUUAUCCGGAUUUAUUGGGUUUAAAGGGAGCGUAGACGGGAGAUUAAGUCAGCUGUGAAAGUUUGAGGCCCAACCUUAAAAUUGCAGUUGAUACUGGUUUCCUUGAGUGCGGUUGAGGUGUAUGGAAUUCGUGGUGUAGCGGUGAAAUGCUUAGAUAUCACGAAGAACUCCGAUUG